GUAGCUCAGUGGUAGAGUGCUUGCCUUGCAUUCAUGAGGCUCUGGGUUCAAUUCUCAGC
RNAcentral lists this transfer RNA (59 nucleotides) under Dipodomys ordii (Ord's kangaroo rat). It matches the Rfam family "tRNA", at positions 7 to 64 of the family's 71-position model. From Rfam's summary of the family: Transfer RNA (tRNA) molecules are approximately 80 nucleotides in length. Their secondary structure includes four short double-helical elements and three loops (D, anti-codon, and T loops). The record is from Rfam by way of RNAcentral. Lineage: Eukaryota; Metazoa; Chordata; Mammalia; Rodentia; Heteromyidae.